CCACCGCACCUGGCCAAAUUCUUUAAUAUAUGUGCUUUUCCUUUUUGUCUGUGUGGUUGAGUCUUAUAGUUACUUUUCAUUGAUGUUGAGUAUUUUAGAUUUAAUAGAGUCACAAAAAAUUUUACCAAUUCCACGACAGCAUCUUGCCAAAACUUGUCAUUUAAAUAUACAUAAAUUUCCCUUUGGAGCCAGGUGCAGUGGCUCACGCCUGUAAUCCUAACACUUUGGGAAACUAAGGUAGGAGGAUUGCUUGAACCUGGGAGGUUGAGACUGCAGUGAGCCAUGAUCAUGCCACUGCAAUCCAGCCUGAGCCACAGAGUGAGACUCUGUCCCCAACUCCCCCCGAAAAAUUACCCUUAGAAUCCCUGCUUGCAACUUUUCUCCAGUGAGCGUACUAUUCAGUAGCCCACUAAAGACAAUUCAGUUUACCACAUGCAUUUUAUUUAGUGAAAUUAAUGAUUACUGUAAUCUCUAUUUUGAGUUUCAAGGUUUUAUGUGGAAUGUUAGGAAAAUUGGUCAAUGAAAUAUUAUAUAUUACCACUGGAGGGUAGUGUUUUCAAUUUCUAUUUUUACAAAUGAUCAAGUUGAAUUUAGUUGAUAGACUAAUCGUGUGCUUCUAUUUUAAAAAUAUUUUAUUUUCAUAAUAUCAAACAGGCCCUCAAAAGUUUGCAUAAUCACUUUGUGAUCCCCUCACACCCCCAUGCUAAUGAAUUUGUACCCCUUUUCUCUUUCUCCCAUGCUAGUACUAACCAGACCCGACCCUGCUUAGCUUCUGGGAUCAGACGAGAUUGGGCAUGUUCAGGGUGGCAUGGCCAUAGGUGCCUUUUCUCUUUCUUAAAAAAAAAAAAAAGUUUGCAUUAGUUACUCUAAUGGAGACAUUGAAUGGAUUAAUUUAUUUACUUUUUAAUUCAAAUUCUCCUUUUCUUUAGCCCAUUAUUCCUAUGUUUACACAAAAUAUUCGAGAAGGAUUUAGAUCACUUGGAGGAACAAGGUUAUUUAGGUGGCUUUAUGAGAAAUUCCGCUAUCCAUUUGCUCCAAUGUAUGGAGGUUUUCCAGUGAAGUUACGGACCUAUUUAGGUGACCCCAUUCCGUAUGACCCACAGAUAACAGCGGAACAAUUAGCUGAAAAGACAAAGAAUGCUGUUCAAGCUUUGAUUGAUAAGCACCAAAGAAUACCAGGAAACAUUAUGAGUGCUUUGUUAGAACGUUUUCAUUGAUAACAAAGGGUCAACUAGAAGAUGAUUUAGUACUUUUAUAUUAAAUGUUUGUAUCUAAGGUACUGUCUUCUGAAUUUUGUAGGUCCUAUAAUUAGUAUUUUUUUAAAAAAUCAUGUUAAUAAGCAUCUUUCACAGAAUUCAUUUCUUUAAAAUAGUCAAUUUUGUUUUUGCAAUUGUGUCAAAUACUAACAAAUUACACACCUAGUAAUUCAGAAAAAGAUAUCUUAUUUGUAAAUUCCUAACAAUGUAUGCUAAACAUAUAGAUUCUUAAGUUUAUUAAUAACAGCAGUAUAGGUUAAACAAACAUUCCUGGAUAAUGCGUUAAAUUUCUGUAUCUGUCGCCCUGAGCUGAUUUUGAAAGAUGGUAUAAGCUAGGGGUUAGUAUAGUUGUUUAAGUUAGAAAAAACAUGCUAUUGUCUGCCCCUCAUUCCCUUCAUGACCUUGGGCAAGUCACGUAAUGUUUUUGUGCCUCAACAAUUCACUUUUUAAAAACAUGAUCGUAUGGUGAAUGAUAUUAUUUUGUUAUUUAUAUUUGCUGUGAUUGAUAACUGUUGAACCAAAAUAAUAAAAUAAUUAAUUUAAACAAUGUCAAAAUCCUUUAGCAGUUAUGUAUAUAUUUUCUCCAUUGUGUGUUUAAAUUAUGUCAUGUCCAGUUGCCAAGCACAAUGAAAAAGAUGUAUUAUUUUUUAAAUUGAAUAAAAAAUUAGGAAAAAUAAAAUUUCUAAUUAUUAUUUUUAGUAUGAUAUUUUUAACAAGAGUCUAUAGGCAAACAAUAUAGGGUGUGCUGUGCAUUGUCAGCCCUAUACUAUGGUCUUAAUAAUGCCAGCUUAAAAAUCACUGUUGUGCUCUGCAUUUCGUGUGUUAGAAGCUGAUUCUAGGCUGAGGAAAGCAAGAGUUCUCUACUUUUGCUCAAUAUUGAGGCUUACCCAGUUUGACUGUACAGCCAGUGAAGUGGUUUAUUGCUUCAAUAAAAAUAUACUUGAAUGAUGAAUUUAUUUAUGUUUUGUUUUGUUUUUAUUUAGAGAUGGGGUUUUGCCAUGUUGGCCAGGCUGGUCUCGAACUCCUGACCUCAGGUGAUCCACCUGCCUCAGCCUCCCAACUUGCUGGGAUUACAGGUGUGAGCCACCAUGCCCAGCCUGAAUGAUGAAUUUAUGUGAACACAAAGCCCUCUGAAAAAUUAAUGAUUUUCAAUUUGUUGUCUUCUUGAAAACUGAAUUUAAGUAUUAUUUAAACAGAAAAGUGUCAGAAAUCAAAUGCAGUAUCUCCCUCUCCCUUUUUUAAAUGUUGAAUUAGUAGGGUUUUUGUAUAGCUUUUUGUAUUAUGUGUAUUUAUGAUAUGUGAAAUGUACAUAAAAUUAAACAAUGUGAAAAUAAA
RNAcentral lists this small RNA (2591 nucleotides) under Pan troglodytes (chimpanzee). Its description in RNAcentral is "retained intron". The record is from RNAcentral. Lineage: Eukaryota; Metazoa; Chordata; Mammalia; Primates; Hominidae.